RNAcentral lists this ribosomal RNA (496 nucleotides) under uncultured bacterium. RNAcentral describes it as "partial 16S ribosomal RNA". It matches the Rfam family "Bacterial small subunit ribosomal RNA", at positions 28 to 506 of the family's 1533-position model. The record is from RNAcentral.
GAUGAACGCUGGCGGCGUGCCUAAUACAUGCAAGUCGAGCGAACAGACGAGGAGCUUGCUCCUUUGACGUUAGCGGCGGACGGGUGAGUAACACGUGGGUAACCUACCUAUAAGACUGGGAUAACUUCGGGAAACCGGAGCUAAUACCGGAUAAUAUUUCGAACCGCAUGGUUCGAUAGUGAAAAAUGGCUUUGCUAUCACUUAUAGAUGGACCUGCGCCGUAUUAGCUAGUUGGUAAGGUAACGGCUUACCAAGGCAACGAUACGUAGCCGACCUGAGAGGGUGAUCGGCCACACUGGAACUGAGACACGGUCCAGACUCCUACGGGAGGCAGCAGUAGGGAAUCUUCCGCAAUGGGCGAAAGCCUGACGGAGCAACGCCGCGUGAGUGAUGAAGGUCUUCGGAUCGUAAAACUCUGUUAUUAGGGAAGAACAAACGUGUAAGUAACUGUGCACGUCUUGACGGUACCUAAUCAGAAAGCCACGGCUAACUACGU